GCCAGACUUGGUGAAGCAUGCCUGUAAUUCUUUUUCUGCGGCUGGGCUGAGGCUAGUGGAUUGCUUGAAAUCAGGAGUUGUGAGCUAGGGCUAAGCCUAUUGAGUGACCACACUAAGUGUAGAAUCAAUAUGGUGAACCCUAGGUGGGGUCCACCAGGCUGCCUAUGGAGGGGAGAAGUGGUCUGGGUCCAAAAUGGAGCAGGUCAAAGCUUUUGUGAUGAUUAGUAGUGGGAUCAAGCCCACGAGUGGCUGCCUCACUUCCAACCUGGGCAAGAUAAGGAGACCCAAGCUUUA
This 294-nucleotide signal recognition particle RNA is filed under the name Vombatus ursinus (common wombat). Its description in RNAcentral is "Metazoan signal recognition particle RNA (ENSVURG00010010028.1)". It matches the Rfam family "Metazoan signal recognition particle RNA". Rfam says of the family: The signal recognition particle (SRP) is a universally conserved ribonucleoprotein. It is involved in the co-translational targeting of proteins to membranes. The eukaryotic SRP consists of a 300-nucleotide 7S RNA and six proteins: SRPs 72, 68, 54, 19, 14, and 9. The record is from Rfam by way of RNAcentral. Lineage: Eukaryota; Metazoa; Chordata; Mammalia; Diprotodontia; Vombatidae.